This is a non-coding RNA of Cinara cedri, 739 nucleotides long. The record is from the annotation of a GenBank genome assembly. Lineage: Eukaryota; Metazoa; Arthropoda; Insecta; Hemiptera; Aphididae.
CGAACACAAGUUUUCAACUAAAUGUUUACGAUUGCAUUAAAUUAUAUUAAUAAUGUCUGUGAGUUUUCUAUUAUAUUGUUAUUAUCCUUCUACGAUCCUCAUAUACGCUUUGGUCGCGCAAGAAAAACUGAAGAAAAAAAAUGUUUACAUUAUAACCGUAACCAUUAUCGCAUCAAUUAACUUUUAACAUAAUCACAAUAGCUGCUUAAUAAUAAAAUUUAGCCGCUUGUGAAAUCAUAGAGUCCACAGAAUGCUGCCUGCAGUGACUUUCCGCUUUCCAUUUUUCGACGAUGCCACGAAAAUUGUCACUAACAUCAGAAUUAUAUUUUAUUAUCGUAAACAACUCUGUGUAUUUGUGAGCGGAGGUUGGUGGAAGUGAAAAUCGAUGAAAAUCGAAAGUGAGAGAUCGUCCGUAGGCGUGCAAAACAUUUCGAAAACGAGAGUUUGUAAAUAUUAUUUCAAUGCGCGGGAAAUUAAUCACGUGCACGUGUGCGCGGAUACGACGUUUCGACGCCGGAAACAACGGCUCGAAAAUGACGAGAUGUUCAUUCGGUCAGAAUCACUUUAUCCAUGAAAAUGCGGCAGGUGAAUUUCUUUCAGUAAAAAUAUUCUGUUCUGGGUUGUAAUUCAAAAAUGAAAGUUUAAACAAUAGCCAAUACUGAUGACAGGUGUGCUACUGUUAUUAUAGGGGUGGCUGAAGUCAAGACAAUAGACUUCAUAUUGUAUAAUAUCAGAAUAA